AGAACGAACGCUGGCGGCAUGCCUAAUACAUGCAAGUCGAACGAACUCUUCGGAGUUAGUGGCGCACGGGUGCGUAACGCGUGGGAAUCUGCCCCUUGGUUCGGAAUAACAGUUGGAAACGACUGCUAAUACCGGAUGAUGACGAAAGUCCAAAGAUUUAUCGCCAAGGGAUGAGCCCGCGUAGGAUUAGCUAGUUGGUGAGGUAAAGGCUCACCAAGGCAACGAUCCUUAGCUGGUCUGAGAGGAUGAUCAGCCACACUGGGACUGAGACACGGCCCAGACUCCUACGGGAGGCAGCAGUAGGGAAUAUGGACAAUGGGCGAAAGCCUGAUCCAGCAAUGCCGCGUGAGUGAUGAAGGCCUUAAGGGUUGUAAAGCUUCUUUACCCGAGAUGAUAAUGACAGUAGUCGGGAAGAAGUAACGCCCCGGACUAACCGUCCCGGCGACCCAGCCACGGCCCGAC
RNAcentral lists this ribosomal RNA (462 nucleotides) under uncultured soil bacterium. RNAcentral's name for it is "bacterial SSU rRNA". It matches the Rfam family "Bacterial small subunit ribosomal RNA", at positions 26 to 530 of the family's 1533-position model. The record is from RNAcentral.